CUCAGAACGAACGCUGGCGGCGCGUUUAAGCAUGCAAGUCGAGCGGUAAGCAUCCUUCGGGAUGCCUAGAGCGGCGAACGGGUGAGUAACACGUAGGUAAUCUGCCGUGCGAUUGGGGAUUGCCUGUGGAAACACAGGGUAAUACCGAAUACGACCUUCGGGGGAAAGGCGCUUCGGCGCCGUCGUACGAUGAGCCUGCGGCGCAUUAGUUAGUUGGCGGGGUAAUGGCCCACCAAGGCGACGAUGCGUAGCCGACCUGAGAGGGUGAUCGGCCACACUGGGACUGAGAUACGGCCCAGACUCCUACGGGAGGCAGCAGCUAAGAAUCUUCCGCAAUGGACGAAAGUCUGACGGAGCGACGCCGCGUGGGCGAGGAAGGCCGAAAGGUUGUAAAGCCCUUUUCUGCGUGAGGAAUAAGAAUCGGAGGCAAUGCCGGUUUGAUGACGGUAGCGCAGGAAUAAGCCCCGGCCAAUUACGUGCCAGCAGCCGCGGUAACACGUAUGGGGCGAGCGUUGUUCGGAAUUAUUGGGCGUAAAGGGCGCGCAGGCGGUCAUGCAAGCUUGGUGUGAAAGACCACGGCUUAACGGUGGAAACGCGCUGAGAACUGCAUGACUUGAGUUUCGGAGAGGGAACUGGAAUUCCAGGUGUAGGGGUGAAAUCUGUAGAUAUCUGGAAGAACAUCAGUGGCGAAGGCGAGUUCCUGGCCGACAACUGACGCUGAGGCGCGAAAGCGUGGGGAGCGAACAGGAUUAGAUACCCUGGUAGUCCACGCCGUAAACGAUGUGCACUAGGUGUUGGGCUUUCGAAGGCUCAGUGCCGCAAGUUAACACGUUCAGUGCACCGUCUGGGGAGUAUGCCCGCAAGGGUUGAACUCAAAGGAAUUGACGGGGGCCCGCACAAGCGGUGGAGCAUGUGGUUUAAUUCGAUGAUA
RNAcentral lists this ribosomal RNA (931 nucleotides) under uncultured organism. RNAcentral's name for it is "bacterial SSU rRNA". It matches the Rfam family "Bacterial small subunit ribosomal RNA", at positions 23 to 959 of the family's 1533-position model. The record is from RNAcentral.